Molecule: long non-coding RNA, 110 nt
Organism: Sapajus apella (tufted capuchin)
Lineage: Eukaryota; Metazoa; Chordata; Mammalia; Primates; Cebidae
Exons: 3
Source: RefSeq, a predicted model, not a curated record
UCUAAAAUUCAUGAGAGGGUUCUUGGACCUUGUGCAAAGAAGAAUUCAGGGCAAGUCCAUAGAGUAAAGUGAAAGCAAAUUUAUUAAGAAAGUAGAAGAAUAAAAGAAUG